UGGACUCUCAUCUUAACAUGAUGGCCUGUUGGACGGGACUGCUCCUCUUAACUCUCUGCUUAGCAGGUGUUAAUAGUCAGACUCUGACAGAAUCUGAACCAGCAGUUAAACGACCUGGAGAGUCUCACAAACUGACCUGCACAACCUCUGGACUGUCAUUCAGCAACUGGGGGAUGGCCUGGAUCAGACAGGCUCCUGGAAAAGGACUUGAGUGGAUUGCUACUGAAGCACUUAGCAGUGGCAAAUACUACUCACAGUCAGUCCGAGGCAGGUUUACUGUCUCCAGAGACAACAGCAGAGAGCAGCUGUAUCUGCAGAUGAACGGCCUGAAGACUGAAGAUUCUGCUGUUUAUUAUUGUGCUCGAGAGUCACAGUGAGAGGAGUUGAUUCAGCAGCUGUACA
Archocentrus centrarchus (flier cichlid) is the source of this 402-nucleotide non-coding RNA. NCBI's taxonomy places the organism in Eukaryota, Metazoa, Chordata, Actinopteri, Cichliformes, Cichlidae. The record is from the annotation of a RefSeq genome assembly.